UUCUUUACAAUGUCCAAGUGCUGUAUAUACAUGGAGUGGCUUCUUUUCAUACUCUGGCUGGACUUCUUUUGAUCCCAAACAUGGCAAACUUUGAUUUACAUCUUUGGUUGGGUUCUUGGUUCAUGGAGGUAAUUUUGUUCCAGGUGUCCUGGGGGGGUUUGUAGGCUCGCGCGCGUACAGAACUUGAGUUGCUUUGUGGUGGAGUAGUUUUGGGAGAUUAGCAUCGUGUACUCUCUUUGGUCUAAAUGUUGUAUCAUGUAUAUUACAUUUCACUCGUCUAUCAGAGAAAAAUUCUUAAAUCAUAGAGCCUUACGUUUUUCUUACAUAUGACCUCAUGGUUUGCUUGACUGCUUCUGCAAAUUAUGCUGCUCAGUUGCUGACUGCAGAAAAAACCUCCAAGUUUUUCAUGCUUGAGAUGCAACAGAGAGGCUCUAACUGCAUCGCUGUUCAACUGCGGCAGAGAUUAAUAUUCUAAAAUAUGGAUGAUGAAUCUCCCAGGUACAUGCUUCCAUCUUUAUACCGUAUCUUUAGAAUUGUUUCUUUUCCUUCCUUGCGUACAUAUUCUCUCGGUGCUGGUCAAUCUAUAUUUUGAUAUCCAAUGCUAGGUGUGUAGCCAGCUUGAUUUCUGAAUCACUUUUUUUAGCAAACCCCCUUCGAUUUCAUUGAAAGAAAUCAUAGUCUGAUUACAAACUAUUGUUAACCAAAUGAAAACCGCAAGAACCAACAACCAACAUCCAGGACUAGGUCAAUUACAAAACUGGAGGCACGAUGACCACAACAUGAACAUAACAUGAUCCAGAACCAGAGGCCAGACAAUAGGAUCAACAUAAACAUAACAUGAUCCAUGACCUACCAGCUGAAACUAUAGGAUCUCCAUCUGUCAGCCAUCAUUCCGACGAACUCCCGGCCUCCACCCUUGCGACGUCCUGUAGGCUUCAUUUGCUACUCGCUCGACUAACUUUGCUCCCAGCUUCCGCAACAUCGUUUCUGGCUCCUUUGUCUGCAAAAUUGACCAAUCGGCAAUCCACGAACGCUUCAGCCUCACAAGGGUUAUUGAUAGUUUUUCUUUCAAAUAUAAUGUCAUUUCUACAUCCUCAGAUAGUCCAAAACAUAGCAACUGCACCAACCAAAACAAGUUUCUUAUCAUGUUUAGGGAACAAUCUGAUCCAUCUACCCAAGCAAUCAGUGAGGCAAUCAGGAGUAGAAUUUUGAUCAAAGGCACAUUUCAUCAGGCUCCACAUCAAACCUCUAGCAACGGAAGAAGUAAAAAACAAAUGGUCAAUAAUAGUCUCAUCCUGACCACAAGAGGCACCAUUCUUAUUACCUUUCCAGCCCCUCUUAAGCAAAUUACCUUUAGUUAAAAUGCCUUUUCUAGUCACGAGCCAAAUAAAUAUUUUGACCUUAGCUGGGAUGAAUCACUUAUUGAUAUGAAUUUUGGAGUUAUUUCCCUCUAGGAAAUACGCACGAUGGUCGUUUAACUUUUUAUAUGUCUGCUUUUGCAUGUCCACAUGAAUAUACCAGUUCUUGUACGAACCAACCCUAUCAUUGUGGAUGCAGUGCUGGUGAAUAAAUCAUUUGUUGUUCAGGAGCCUUGUUGUAUCUUCCCGUUCAUGGCUCACACCCUCCACAUCAUUUCAGGAAUGGAAGGA
RNAcentral lists this long non-coding RNA (1649 nucleotides) under Hordeum vulgare. RNAcentral's name for it is "long non-coding RNA (HVUL_LNC021119)". The record is from RNAcentral. Lineage: Eukaryota; Viridiplantae; Streptophyta; Magnoliopsida; Poales; Poaceae.